UUCAGCGAUUCUUGAGCGAGGGUCACACCCGUUCCCAUUCCGAACACGGCAGUUAAGCCUCGCUUCGCCGAUGGUACCUGGCCUCCGGGUCCGGGAGAGUAGGGCGUCGCUGGAU
This 115-nucleotide ribosomal RNA is filed under the name Fibrobacter sp. The record is from RNAcentral. Lineage: Bacteria; Pseudomonadati; Fibrobacterota; Fibrobacteria; Fibrobacterales; Fibrobacteraceae.